Molecule: ribosomal RNA, 253 nt
Filed under: uncultured bacterium
Lineage: Bacteria
Description: partial 16S ribosomal RNA
Rfam family: Bacterial small subunit ribosomal RNA
Source: RNAcentral
UACAGAGGGGGCGAGCGUUGUUCGGAAUUACUGGGCGUAAAGGGCGCGUAGGCGGCCUCUUAAGUCGAACGUGAAAUCCCCGGGCUCAACCCGGGGACUGCGUCCGAUACUGGGAGGCUUGAAUCCGGGAGAGGGAUGUGGAAUUCCAGGUGUAGCGGUGAAAUGCGUAGAUAUCUGGAGGAACACCGGUGGCGAAGGCGGCAUCCUGGACCGGUAUUGACGCUGAGGCGCGAAAGCCAGGGGAGCAAACGGG